This 508-nucleotide ribosomal RNA is filed under the name uncultured bacterium. RNAcentral describes it as "bacterial SSU rRNA". It matches the Rfam family "Bacterial small subunit ribosomal RNA", at positions 791 to 1300 of the family's 1533-position model. The record is from RNAcentral.
UAGUCCACGCCGUAAACGAUGUCUAUUAGCCGUUGGGGACCUAGUGUCCUUAGUGGCGCAGCUAACGCGAUAAAUAGACCGCCUGGGGAGUACGGCCGCAAGGUUGAAACUCAAAUGAAUUGACGGGGGCCCGCACAAGCGGUGGAGCAUGUGGUUUAAUUCGAUGCAACGCGAAGAACCUUACCAGGUCUUGACAUCCUGCGAAUUUUCUAGAGAUAGAUUAGUGCCUUCGGGAACGCAGUGACAGGUGCUGCAUGGCUGUCGUCAGCUCGUGUCGUGAGAUGUUGGGUUAAGUCCCGUAACGAGCGCAACCCUUGUCCUUAGUUGCUAACAUUAAGUUGAGCACUUUAAAGAGACUGCCGGUGACAAACCGGAGGAAGGUAAGGAUGACGUCAAGUCAGCAUGCCCCUUAUGCUCUGGGCUACACACGUGCUACAAUGGCCGUGACAAAGAGUUGCUACUUUGUGAAAACAAGCUAAUCUCAUAAACGCGGCCUCAGUUCGGAUUG